This 525-nucleotide ribosomal RNA is filed under the name Lactifluus sp. G1858. RNAcentral describes it as "eukaryotic LSU rRNA". It matches the Rfam family "Eukaryotic large subunit ribosomal RNA", at positions 123 to 656 of the family's 3401-position model. The record is from RNAcentral. Lineage: Eukaryota; Fungi; Basidiomycota; Agaricomycetes; Russulales; Russulaceae.
GGCGGUCUUUGGUCGUCCGAGUUGUAAUUUAGAGAAGCGUCUUCCGCGCCGGACCGUGCACAAGUCUCCUGGAAUGGAGCAUCAUAGAGGGUGAGAAUCCCGUCUUUGGCAUGGAAACCCCGGGGCUCUGUGAUGCGCUCUCGAAGAGUCGAGUUGUUUGGGAAUGCAGCUCAAAAUGGGUGGUGAACUCCAUCUAAAGCUAAAUAUUGGCGAGAGACCGAUAGCGAACAAGUACCGUGAGGGAAAGAUGAAAAGCACUUUGGAAAGAGAGUGAAACAGUACGUGAAAUUGUUGAAAGGGAAACACUUGAAGUCAGUCGCGUCGACCAAGACUCAGCCUCGCCCUCGGCUUGGCGUACUUCUUGGCUGACGGGCCAGCAUCGAUUUUGUCCCUCGGACAAUGGCAAGGGAAAGGUGGCACCCUUUAUGGGUGUGUUAUAGUCCUCUGUCGCAUACGAGGGGUGGGAUCGAGGAACUCGGCGCAUGCUUAGGAUGCUGGCGUAAUGGCUUUAAAUGACCCGUCUUG